This 1243-nucleotide ribosomal RNA is filed under the name metagenome. Its description in RNAcentral is "bacterial LSU rRNA". It matches the Rfam family "Bacterial large subunit ribosomal RNA", at positions 1564 to 2817 of the family's 2925-position model. The record is from RNAcentral.
UGAGUACGAGACGCUAAGGCGUCGAAGUAGUGGAUGUCAUACUUCCAAGAAAAGCUUGCACUGUCAUAAAUAGAAAACGCCUGUACCAUAACCGACACAGGUGGGUAGGUAGAGUAUACUAAGGGGCGCGAGAUAACUCUCUCUAAGGAACUCGGCAAAAUAACUCCGUAACUUCGGGAGAAGGAGUGCCUUAUUCGUAAGGCUGCAAUAACAAGAUCCAAGCAACUGUUUAUCAAAAACACAGGUCUCCGCUAAGUCGUAAGACGAUGUAUGGGGGCUGACGCCUGCCCAGUGCCAGAAGGUUAAAGAAGUCGGUUAGCAUUAGCGAAGCUGGUAACUGAAGCCCUGGUGAACGGCGGCCGUAACAAUAACGGUCCUAAGGUAGCGAAAUUCCUUGUCGGGUAAGUUCCGACCCGCACGAAAGGCGUAAUGAUUUGGAUACUGUCUCGGAGAGGGGCUCGGUGAAAUAGACUUGUCUGUGAAGAUGCGGACUACCUGCACCAGGACAGAAAGACCCUAUGAAGCUUUACUGUAACUUGAAAUUGAAAUUGGACUUUAUUCGCGCAGUAUAGGUGGGAGGUGUUGAUUAUAAUCUUGCGGGAUUAUUGGAGCCAUCAGUGAGAUACCACUCUUGUAAUGUUAGAUUUCUAACUUUGAAUCAUUAUCUGGUCAAAGAACAGUUUCAGGCGGGCAGUUUGACUGGGGCGGUCGCCUCCUAAAUGGUAACGGAGGCGUACAAAGGUUUCCUCUGAACGGGUAGAAAUCGUAUCUAGAGUGUAAAGGCAUAAGGAAGCUUGACUGUGAGACCUACAAGUCGAGCAGGGACGAAAGUCGGUCUUAGUGAUCUGACGGUACUGAGUGGAAAGGCCGUCACUCAACGGAUAAAAGUUACUCUAGGAUAACAGGCUGAUCUCCCCCAAGAGUUCACAUCGACGGGGAGGUUUGGCACCUUGAUGUCGGCUCAUCGCAUCCUGGGGCGGUAGUACGUCCCAAGGGUUGGGCUGUUCGCCCAUGAAAGCGGUACGCGAGCUGGGUUCAGAACGUCGUGAGACAGUUCGGUCCAUAUCCGGUGUAGGCGUUAGAAUAUUGAGAGGAGCCUUCUUUAGUACGAGAGGACUGAGAAGGACAUACCUCUGGUGUACCAGUUAUCGUGCCAACGGUAAACGCUGGGUAGCUAUGUAUGGAGUGGAUAACCGCUGAAAGCAUCUAAGUGGGAAGCCCACCUCAAGAUAAGUAUUCUCAU